UACGUAGGUGACAAGCGUUGUCCGGAUUUACUGGGCGUAAAGAGCGCGCAGGCGGUCGUUCAAGUCGAGUGUGAAAGCCCUCGGCUCAACUGGGGAGGGUCAUUCGAUACUGAUCGACUCGAAGGCAGGAGAGGGUAGUGGAAUUCCCGGUGUAGUGGUGAAAUGCGUAGAUAUCGGGAGGAACACCAGUGGCGAAGGCGACUACCUGGCCUGUUCUUGACGCUGAGGCGCGAAAGCUAGGGGAGCAAACGGG
RNAcentral lists this ribosomal RNA (253 nucleotides) under uncultured bacterium. Its description in RNAcentral is "partial 16S ribosomal RNA". It matches the Rfam family "Bacterial small subunit ribosomal RNA", at positions 524 to 776 of the family's 1533-position model. The record is from RNAcentral.